GACGAACGCUGGCGGCGUGCUUAACACAUGCAAGUCGAACGGUGAUCCGGGCUUCGGCCCGGGGAUCAGUGGCGAACGGGUGCGUAACACGUGGGCAACCUGCCUCAGACACUGGGAUAACCCCGGGAAACCGGGCUAAUACCGGAUACUCCGACCGGACUGCAUGAUCCGGCCGGGAAAGCUCCGACGGUCUGAGAUGGGCCCGCGGCCUAUCAGCUUGUUGGUGGGUAACGCCCACCAAGGCGACGACGGGAGCUGGUCUGAGAGGACGACCAGCCACACUGAACUGAGACACGGUCCAGACUCUUACGGGAGGCAGCAGUGGGGAAUCUUGCGCAAUGGGCGAAAGCCUGACGCAGCGACGCCGCGUGGGGA
RNAcentral lists this ribosomal RNA (375 nucleotides) under uncultured bacterium. Its description in RNAcentral is "bacterial SSU rRNA". It matches the Rfam family "Bacterial small subunit ribosomal RNA", at positions 28 to 407 of the family's 1533-position model. The record is from RNAcentral.